Myodes glareolus (Bank vole) is the source of this 5074-nucleotide non-coding RNA. The record is from RefSeq and is a predicted model, not a curated record. NCBI's taxonomy places the organism in Eukaryota, Metazoa, Chordata, Mammalia, Rodentia, Cricetidae.
GAGUCUGUAAGGACAAACAAGUCCAGGAGUAUUAAUAGGAAAUAUUAAGUGAAAUGUUAUGAGUUUGUAAGUACAAACAAGUCCUUGUUUGUUAAAAUGCAAUAUUAAGUGACACACAAAAUGAAACUAAAAAGCAUGAAGCAAUGUGUGCAGUGGUGAUAAGAGUUUGAGCUGGUGAAUAAGUGUGACGUAACUAUAUGAUAAGCAGACAUGUGUGUUAAUCUAGAAUUAAGAAAGUAAGUAGCCACAGAAAAGUAUAAAAACUUGAGGCUCACGGCCAGAAGACAUUCUCAAAAUGACUUGCCAGACACACUGUCAGAAACAGUCAUAGAGAAUCCAACGAACCAGCAACUUGACAGCUGAGACCAUCCAAGAGCCAGAGAACUAGCUCUUGCCUGCAGAUCAAGACUUACUGACUUGCUGACUUGCUGAUAGAUCUUCCAAGAGCCAGAGAACUAGCUCUUGCCUGCGGAUCAAGACUUGCUGAUCCAGAGGUCUACGCUGAGAGCCACGGACCAUUAUCAGGUCGUAUACACCAAUGCCUCAGUAAGAUAGGAUAGAAGACCUUGCCUAGGACAUAGGAACCCUUGCUGAAUGUGUGAUGUGAUUGAAUGUGUGAUGUGAUUGAUUGGCUAGGAUUGUUAUAGGUUUGAUGUUUACUUAUAUCUGCCAUAGGAAUAAUUAGAGAUUUAAAUGAUUGUUAUAGUUUUGAUGUUUGCCUACACCUGCUAUAGUAACAACUGGAGAUUUGACUAUUGGCAUAAUAAACUUGUUCCUAGAACAAACACUGUGGUCAUCCUGAGUAUUUACUUGCAAACCUCUAAGUAAGGGCAGAAUGCCUGCUCAGGAAUAAGGCUCGCGACACACACACACUGAAAUGCCUCUUUAAAACAUAAUGGAAGCAUAAGAAUAUGUGUAUAUUCUCAAAAUAAUGCCAUCUCCAAGUGGAGUUCAGGAGCCGAGUAAGUAAAGCUUGCAGGAACAGUUCAUACAUGCAUGUGACCAUGAAGGGUGUUGGUAGGCACUGACUGCUAGCAUAAGUCACUCAGAUGCCGUGGAACUCUAGGCUGAGUCAAAGCUUGGGCUGCUUUUCAUUUAACAAAUGCUUAAAAGAAUUUUUGCAUUGUAAUAUGUAGGUUGCAGCAAAGACCUGCUCUCUCUCAUUUUCCUCCCAGCCGCGUGAGGGAAAAGAAAGGUCUGUGAUUACUUUACAGAGGAAAGUGAGGGAAAAUGCUUCACCUUGAGCGCUGUUAUGACAGCUUCAGGAUAGGACAGCCCGACCAUGUGGUAGCUCUUCCUAUACAUCCUAGGAAAGAGGGGAAAUUGCACCAUUAGCAUUCCUUCGCUCCACACCUUCAGCUGUGUUUCUCAAAAACCAAGGAAAGACAACUCUAGAUCUCUUCCUGUGACAAAGUUUUCUUUAAGUCAUCGUGGGAUUUCACGUGGGUGAUCAGCACAGCAGCAACCUUCUUACUGAAGCCUUCAGGAAGGUUUACAACAAAAGGCUUUGAUUAAUUACCCCCUGGAGCUAAGUAUAAUUACUCCAACUCUUAGGAGAGUACUAACCGCACAACAAAGGGUUCAGCAAGCCCUGACUGUUCAUGAAGAAGACCCUUCCUUGUGGAUUCUGAGGAAACAGGCUUUUUUAAAAAAUUUUUUUGUUUUAUUUAUUAUGCAUAUAGUAUUCUGUCUGUGUGUAUGCCUGAAGGCCAGAAGAGGACAUCAGACCCCAUUAUAGAUUGGGGGCUGGAGAGAUGGCUCAGAGGUUAAAAGCAUUGCCUGCUCUUCCAAAGGUCCUGAGUUCAAUUCCCAGCAACCACAUGGUGGAAACAGUCUUUAUCUACCUAUCUUUCCAAGGAUUGUCCUGAAGAAAAGAGCGAGGGGUUGAGAAGGAGCAAUGAACAGGGAAGUGAUCAACACAAUAAGGACCUUUAAAGCAUUCAGUAGUAUCGGAUCAGUGUGAUUUCCUGGCACAGGAGGGACGGGAGGCUGUGAAGGCUACAGAACCCAAGCCUUGAAUCUUCAGUUAGCUGAUUGGUAGCUAUGCGGCAUUUGGAACAAUCUUUAAUAGUUCAUUUUUUAAAAGGAGAAUCCCAAGCUUUCUGUGAAGACUAAAGAAAUAAAUGCUGGGUAAAAUCUAGCACCGAGGUUCCUCGACUUGGAAAUAGGCUUUGAAUGUGAGCAUCACUUACAACAUGGAAUGAAAAGAGGCAAGGAUGAUUGCCCUCUAAAAGCAAAUUUAAAAAUUUCCAAAAUUUUUUAAAAAAAGUUCUCUAUUAUGUUAGCCCUCUGUCCUAUCAUCAGGGAUAGAAAUAUAAAAUUAAAAAUUUUAUAUUAGAGCAAAUAAAACAGAAAAGCAACACAACCGCUCCAGAAAUGCAAGGGAUUACAGACAUCUUCACCAACGCCUUCCGUCUCAUUAAACAAGUCAUGUGCCAUACAUGCAGGAGAAAGACUAAGGAGUUUCCUGGAAUCCAGUAGGAGGUAAAGCCCAAGUGAAACUCUCAGGGAUUAUUUUUGAAGGUUUCUCUAAAACUAUGAGAUAUAACUCCAAGCCUUUAAAGAAACCAAGACACCACUUCUAUUCUCAUUGCUGUCCCAGGUAGCAUCUGGACAAACAAUUGCCUGCACCUGCUGAGUCUUGGGAGAGCGACUUUGUAGGAGAAGCAAGGAGACUUCUAGUUCCAUAUUGAAAGUAAUUACUUUUGAAAAAUACAAGAUGAAUAAUGUCAAUAAUGGGUAAUUGAUAUUGAUAGAUCAAGAUUUUCCUUCUACACUCACCAAGCAUGCUAAUUUACAAUAGUUAAACUUUUAUUUUAGUUACCUUCUGCAUGUUGUGAAAUUUCUAUUUAGAAAGGAAGCUUGAUUUGUAUGAUAUUUCAUAUGAAAAAAAAAUAGAAACUUACCAGGUCCAUGCAUGAAUCUGAAUUCAUAACCUUGUCUCAAUGCAUGCACAUUCAGUUGGCUCUCAUCCAUACUUUGCUUUGCCUUUCAGUUUUCACGGCUUGCAAACUUUCUAACAAGGAAGAUAACUUAUAUUCCCACAGCAAGCUAAGCAUGGGGCUUCACCUGAGACUCUGUGCAACACUACUUAGAUGUUUUUAAUUUGAUGCCAUGGGAAAUCAAUAAUUCUCACACAAAGGCACACUCUCCUCAGCCCAGCAUGCUGGCUUCAGACUUCUGUCAGAAUAAGUCUAUACAUCAAAGAAGGUGAUGCCCUGUUACUAACUAGAAUAUCUUUAGUUUUCUAUUAAGGUUUUAGUUGUUUUUUUUUAAGUCAAUCAGAUGGGACUGAGAAGCUAGUUGAGUGAUUUGGAUAAUAACUCACUAGAUGAGCUUUCAGGGUGUAUCUUCCUGAAACAAGCUAUUGAAAGGGUUACACUAUGGUCCUAACAUCUUUAAACUGAAUUUGCAAUAGGACUCUUUUAUGCUUACGUUUACAUUACAUUUUGAAAUUACACUUACAUUUUGAAAAUCAAAAGUAUCUUUUCCAUCAUUUUUUUUGACUGGAAACGAGGCUUCAAAAUAUCGAAAGAUGAAAACAGUGACCAGAAUUCACUUAAAUGUAAGGGUGCCGAGGCUGAGCUUGGUGACAUAAGCCUGUAGUCCUAGCUCUCCAGAAACGAGAGCCAGGAGAGCUGAAAAUUCAGGGCCAGCCUGACCUAACCAGUCACUGUCUCAAAAACAGUGCCCUGUGGAUCUCUGUGAGUUUGAGGACAGCCUGGUCUACAAGAGCUAGUUCCAGGACAGGCUCCAAAGCUACAGAGAAACCCUGCCUCGAAAAACAAAACAAAACAGUGCCCUGAAGUAUAAUAAUUGCCCAUCCUUCAAUCUGGUCAGUUUCAAAAAACAUUAAAAUUGCCACUUUACAUAUAACUAAACACAUUACUUUUUAACGUGAGAAAUUCCUGAUAAAUGCUUCUCAAUUUUGCCAGACAUGUUUAUACUCAGUCAUUCUGAGACAUCUCAUUUCAGAGAAAGAAAAGUAGUCUUUUCUCUAAUGAUUUAAAAACAUAUGAAACUUGGCCCUAUGAAUACGUGCAGAUGCUGGAAACUCUGGUGACCUCCGUGAUACGGGGACUUCUUUCUGUGACACGAAAGCCUAAUUCCUCCAAAGUGGAAGUGAGAGAGAUGUGAUCUCACUAUGGAAACAGGAAGAGGGAAGUCUUCAAUUUAGGCAAAAAAAAAAAAAAAAAAAAAAGAAUCAUUUGACUUUGAAAUAAAGAUUACUGCCUAUUAUAGGAUUCAUUUUAUGGGUUAUUGUAAUUUUUUCAUAUGAAAUUGAGUGAUAACCCAUGAACAUAUUAGGACUGUUUGUAAACGGCUAUCUACAAAGGUGUGUUUCCAGUGGGAUAUGUAUCAGUCUCUCUUUCAGCCUAUUAGAAAAAAAGAGAAGACAUCAAGACAAGGUGCUUUUGUUGUGGCCAUGGCCCUCACAAGUGCAAACUGUCCGCUCCGGUUAGACUUGGGACGGUAAGUGUCCUCUAGCGACUGUGUAGUAUGAGCCCUCAGGACUUCUACGUACCAAACGCGCGUGCUGCCCUUUUGAAUUCUCUUUCCUCGGGACACGAACCAUGCCGCUUACCUUUCCACAAAAAUGCCAGCCUGAACCGCGUGGACGAUGCUUCGAAACUUGGGUUUUUCCUCAGGUUUCUUCUUGAUCACCCCCAUUUUCCGCGUGAAGGUGGAAGCCAGCCAGUCCCGGACUUCCGAUGGGACUGAGUCAAUCUGAAUGUCGCUGAGCUCAUCUUCGGGGUCAAGAAGUCUUCUACAAACACACGCAGAGAUUAAAAACUGUAAAAACAAGGUCAGCGAGAUGGCUCAGCAGGUAAAGGACUUGCCAUGAAGACCUGAAGACCCAAGUGCAGCCCCCAGAACCCAUCGGAAAGAGAAAACAGACUCCUGAAAAUUGUCAUGAGACUGACCUUCAUGUGUGUAUUGUAGCAUCCACGCACGUGCACACACACACACACACACACACACACACACACACACACACAUCAUAUACAUUCAUCUGAGCAAUAAUAAACCAAACUGCAAAAUAAAGAAAAAUGGUUGGAGUUCUCUCUUAGUA